This 2071-nucleotide long non-coding RNA is filed under the name Homo sapiens (human). RNAcentral describes it as "non-protein coding lnc-ODF3L1-4:1". The record is from RNAcentral. Lineage: Eukaryota; Metazoa; Chordata; Mammalia; Primates; Hominidae.
AUGUGGCCCCAACCCUGCCUUCCUCCCCACCCCACGAUGUUAGAAGAAACUCAACAGAGUAAAUUGGCAGCAGCCAAGAAAAAGCUAAAAGAAUAUCAGCAGAGGAACAGCCCUGGUGUUCCAGCAGGAGUGAAGAUGAAAAAGAAAAACACUGGCAGUAGCCCUGAGACAGCCACUUUUGGUGGUUGCCACUCACCUGGGGCUAGUCGGUACCAAGAACUGGAAUUAGCCCUGGACUCAAGCUCCGCAAUAAUCAAUCAACUCAAUGAAAACAUAGAAUCAUUGAAACAACAGAAGAAACAAGUGGAACAUCAGCUGGAAGAAGAAAAGAAAACCAACAGUGAAAUACACAAAGCACAGAUGGAGCAGUUAGAGGCAAUCGACAUCCUCACAUUGGAAAAGGCAGACUUGAAGACCACCCUUUACCAUACUAAACGUGCUGCCCGACACUUCGAAGAAGAGUCCAAGGAUCUGGCUGGCCGCCUGCAAUACUCCUUACAGCGUAUUCAAGAAUUGGAGCGGGCUCUCUCUGCUGUGUCUACACAGCAGCAGGAAGAGGACAGGUCCUCGAGCUGCAGAGAAGCGGUCCUCCAGUGGCGGUUACAGCAGACCAUAAAGGAGCAGGCACUGCUGAACGCACACGUGACACAGGUGACAGAGUCACUUAAACAAGUCCAGCUAGAGAGAGAUGAAUAUGCUCAACAUAUAAAAGAAGAGAGGGCCCGGUGGCAGGAGAGGAUGUGGAAAAUGUCGGUGGGGGCUCGCACAUUGAAGAAGGAGAAGAAGCGUGUCAUACAUCAGAUACAGGAGCUGGAGAGGAGCUUGUCCAAACUCUCUAUCUGAGCCCCCAUCCCCGGCACCCCCAGCAGUGACCUCUGUGGUGGAGCAGCUACAAGAUGAGGCCAAACACCUGAGGAAGGAGGUGGAGAGUUUGGAGGGAAAGCUCCAAUCCAAGGUGGAAAACAACCAGGCCUUGAGUCUCCUGAGCAAGGAACAAAAGUAGAGGCUCCAGGAGCAGGACGAGAGGCUCCGAGAGCAGGAGGAGUGGAGGGUGCGGGAGCAGGAGAGACUGUGUGAGCAAAAUGAGAGGCUUCGGGAGCAGCAGAAGACGCUACGGGAGCAGGGUGAGAGGCUGCGAAAGCAGGAGCAGAGGCUAUGCAAGCAGGAGGAGAGGCUGCGAAAGGAGGAGGAGAGGCUGCGAAAGCAGGAAAAGAGGCUGUGGGACCAGGAGGAGAGGCUGUGGGACCAGGAGGAGAGGCUGUGGGAGAAGGAGGAGAGGCUACAAAAGCAGGAGGAGAGGCUCAUGCUCUCCCAGAACCACAAGCUCGACAAGCAGCUGGCCGAGCCACAGUGCAGCUUCGAGGAUCUGGUGGAAUAACGAGAACAAGAGCGCACUGCAGUUGGAGCAGCAAGUAAAGGAGCUGCAGGAGAGGCUGGGAACCAGCUGCCAGCCACCAGAACCAACAGCUAGAGACCCAGCUAAGCCUCGUGGCUCUCCCUGGAGAAGGAGAUGGAGGACAACAUCUGGACAGUGAGGAGGAGGAGGCGCCUCGGCCCACGCCAAACAUCCCAGAGGACCUGGAGAGCCGGGAGGCCACGCGGCUUUAUGGACCUCCCGAAGGAGAAGGUGGGCAGGAAGGAGCAGGUGGAAAAACUAGAGCUUGGAUUCAUCCAGCUCUCUGGAGCGACAGACGGCAUGAUACAUCACUGAAUAUGAGAGCCAGGGGGCAGUGCCAAACACGCGGCACCAGGAGAAGGAAGACAUCAUCAGGCUGGCCCAGAAGGAGGAGGAGAUGAAGGUAGGGCGUGAAGCUGCUGGAGCUGCAGGAGCUGGUGUUGCCCCUUGUGGGCGACCACGAGGGGCAUGGCAAAUUCCUCACCGCUGCCCAGAACCCUGCCGAUGAGCCCGCUCCAGGGGCCCCAGCCCCCCAGGAACUUGGGAUUUUUAUGAAGUGAGCCUGGACGAUAGCGAGGAGCCUGCACCGGGAGCGGCCGGGGAGGGUUCUCCCCAUGACAACCCCACUGCACAGCAGAUCGUGCAGCUGCCUCCUGUAAUGCAGGACACCCAGGA